GUGGAGAUGGCUCAGUAGGUAAGAGAGCUUGCUCUUGAAGCAUGAAGACCUGAGUUCAGAUCCCCAGUGCCCACU
RNAcentral lists this transfer RNA (75 nucleotides) under Rattus norvegicus (Norway rat). It matches the Rfam family "tRNA". Rfam says of the family: Transfer RNA (tRNA) molecules are approximately 80 nucleotides in length. Their secondary structure includes four short double-helical elements and three loops (D, anti-codon, and T loops). Further hydrogen bonds mediate the characteristic L-shaped molecular structure. tRNAs have two regions of fundamental functional importance: the anti-codon, which is responsible for specific mRNA codon recognition, and the 3' end, to which the tRNAs corresponding amino acid is attached (by aminoacyl-tRNA synthetases). tRNAs cope with the degeneracy of the genetic code in two manners: having more than one tRNA (with a specific anti-codon) for a particular amino acid; and 'wobble' base-pairing, i.e. permitting non-standard base-pairing at the 3rd anti-codon position. The record is from Rfam by way of RNAcentral. Lineage: Eukaryota; Metazoa; Chordata; Mammalia; Rodentia; Muridae.